GGGGAAGGCAGGGUUUCGCCGGGUAGCGGCCACGGGUGAAGAAUGGCCCCCUGUCCCACACAUCAUAUAGCCGGCCACGCGCGGCAGGGCGGGCCCUCAUCACUCCGCCGCUGUGAGCAUCCUUUGAAAGUUAUGCCGGACAUGUGCCUGUACAGGGACAGGGCAAAGGCGGAAAUGUUGCUGCCACGGGGCUACCACCACUUCAGGCUACUGCUCGCCAGCAGCAUCAGCAGAAGGCGCGCGUGAAAAAUGUUGUAUCACGACUUCAGAAACGUACCGUGAUAGACAUGCCCCGGAUACUACAAAGAAGCGCGAUCUGUCUAGCUAUAGCGCCAGCCACACACACACACACACACACACACACACACACACACACACACACACACACACACACACACACACACACACACACACACACACACACACACACACACACACACACGGUGCGGCCUAAGAGAAGCAAGGACAUGCAGCACUAACAGAGUAAACGCAGCAUUAUUAAUAAGUGCGCCGGUUUCCCUUUGGAGUUUGCCUGGAUGCGUAAACAUUUGUAUAUAUUCGUAUAUAUUCG
Molecule: long non-coding RNA, 571 nt
Filed under: Volvox carteri
Lineage: Eukaryota; Viridiplantae; Chlorophyta; Chlorophyceae; Chlamydomonadales; Volvocaceae
Description: long non-coding RNA (VCAR_LNC002685)
Source: RNAcentral